GCCUGGUUGGCUCCGUGGAUAGAGCAUGGGAAUAUUGAUCUCAGGGUCGUGAGUUUGAGUCCCAUGUUAGGCA
Molecule: transfer RNA, 73 nt
Filed under: Ailuropoda melanoleuca (giant panda)
Lineage: Eukaryota; Metazoa; Chordata; Mammalia; Carnivora; Ursidae
Rfam family: tRNA
About the family: Transfer RNA (tRNA) molecules are approximately 80 nucleotides in length. Their secondary structure includes four short double-helical elements and three loops (D, anti-codon, and T loops).
Source: Rfam by way of RNAcentral